UACGGAGGAUCCAAGCGUUAUCCGGAAUCAUUGGGUUUAAAGGGUCCGUAGGCGGAUUUAUAAGUCAGUGGUGAAAGUUUGCGGCUCAACCGUAAAAUUGCCAUUGAUACUGUAAGUCUUGAAUUACUAUGAAGUGGUUAGAAUAAGUAGUGUAGCGGUGAAAUGCAUAGAUAUUACUUAGAAUACCGAUUGCGAAGGCAGAUCACUAAUAGUAUAUUGACGCUGAGGGACGAAAGCGUGGGUAGCGAACAGG
Molecule: ribosomal RNA, 253 nt
Filed under: uncultured bacterium
Lineage: Bacteria
Description: partial 16S ribosomal RNA
Rfam family: Bacterial small subunit ribosomal RNA
Source: RNAcentral